Molecule: long non-coding RNA, 340 nt
Organism: Zalophus californianus (California sea lion)
Lineage: Eukaryota; Metazoa; Chordata; Mammalia; Carnivora; Otariidae
Exons: 3
Source: RefSeq, a predicted model, not a curated record
GGGACCUCCAUCAUAUAUGAGCAAAGAAGAUAAUUUGGAUAGAUAUAUGCCUCCAGGAAGGAAAAAUGCAGAGCUACAAUGCCAAAGCAAUUAUAGGUGUAGCGUGAGGUUGCACGUGCAAGCUGGGGCACACACAGGUUCCCUGCGGAACGAGGCUGACGGCACUACAGCGAAGUUACUGGUUUUUCUCACCAGCUUGAAAGAACCUCUCGCAGGCUGGAAUGAUGGGGCCAAUGCCAAGAAGAGAUCUAAUAGGGAAAAGCAAAUGGCAGAUUCUUCGAGGAAGAGGACCCAAAAGGUCAUUGACUGGAGCUUCUGAUUAAAUCCUUGAGUAGAUGGA